This 426-nucleotide ribosomal RNA is filed under the name uncultured archaeon. Its description in RNAcentral is "bacterial SSU rRNA". It matches the Rfam family "Archaeal small subunit ribosomal RNA", at positions 44 to 474 of the family's 1478-position model. The record is from RNAcentral.
CUAAGCCAUGCGAGUCGAGAGGGUUCGGCCCUCGGCGGACUGCUCAGUAACACGUGGAUAAUUUGCCCUUAGGUGGAGGAUAAUCUCGGGAAACUGAGAAUAAUACUCCAUAGAUCUAGGAUGCUGGAAUGCACUUAGAUUGAAAGUUCCGGCGCCUAAGGAUAAGUCUGCGGACUAUCAGGUUGUAGUCAGGGUAAAGACCUGACUAGCCUACAACGGAUACGGGUUGUGAGAGCAAUAACCCGGAGACGAUAUCUGAGACACGAUAUCGGGCCCUACGGGGCGCAGCAGGCGCGAAACCUUCACACUGCGCGAAAGCGCGAUAAGGGGAUCCCAAGUGCCAGCUCGUAAGAGUUGGCUGUUUCUCUGUCUAAAAAGCAGAGAGAGUAAGGGCUGGGUAAGGCGGGUGCCAGCCGCCGCGGUUAA